This 484-nucleotide ribosomal RNA is filed under the name uncultured bacterium. RNAcentral describes it as "partial 16S ribosomal RNA". It matches the Rfam family "Bacterial small subunit ribosomal RNA", at positions 30 to 507 of the family's 1533-position model. The record is from RNAcentral.
AUUGAACGCUGGCGGCAGGCCUAACACAUGCAAGUCGAGCGGAUGACGGGAGCUUGCUCCUUGAUUCAGCGGCGGACGGGUGAGUAAUGCCUAGGAAUCUGCCUGGUAGUGGGGGACAACGUUUCGAAAGGAACGCUAAUACCGCAUACGUCCUACGGGAGAAAGCAGGGGACCUUCGGGCCUUGCGCUAUCAGAUGAGCCUAGGUCGGAUUAGCUUGUUGGUGAGGUAAUGGCUCACCAAGGCGACGAUCCGUAACUGGUCUGAGAGGAUGAUCAGUCACACUGGAACUGAGACACGGUCCAGACUCCUACGGGAGGCAGCAGUGGGGAAUAUUGGACAAUAGGCGAAAGCCUGAUCCAGCCAUGCCGCGUGUGUGAAGAAGGUCUUCGGAUUGUAAAGCACUUUAAGUUGGGAGGAAGGGUUGUAGAUUAAUACGCUGCAAUUUUGACGUUACCGACAGAAUAAGCACCGGCUAACUCUGUG